Molecule: ribosomal RNA, 731 nt
Filed under: Klebsiella pneumoniae subsp. pneumoniae
Lineage: Bacteria; Pseudomonadati; Pseudomonadota; Gammaproteobacteria; Enterobacterales; Enterobacteriaceae
Description: partial 23S ribosomal RNA
Rfam family: Bacterial large subunit ribosomal RNA
Source: RNAcentral
UGUUUCGGCUAGGGGGUCAUCCCGACUUACCAACCCGAUGCAAACUACGAAUACCGAAGAAUGUUAUCACGGGAGACACACGGCGGGUGCUAACGUCCGUCGUGAAGAGGGAAACAACCCAGACCGCCAGCUAAGGUCCCAAAGUCAUGGUUAAGUGGGAAACGAUGUGGGAAGGCACAGACAGCCAGGAUGUUGGCUUAGAAGCAGCCAUCAUUUAAAGAAAGCGUAAUAGCUCACUGGUCGAGUCGGCCUGCGCGGAAGAUGUAACGGGGCUAAACCAUGCACCGAAGCUGCGGCAGCGACACUAUGUGUUGUUGGGUAGGGGAGCGUUCUGUAAGCCUGCGAAGGUGUGCUGUGAGGCAUGCUGGAGGUAUCAGAAGUGCGAAUGCUGACAUAAGUAACGAUAAAGCGGGUGAAAAGCCCGCUCGCCGGAAGACCAAGGGUUCCUGUCCAACGUUAAUCGGGGCAGGGUGAGUCGACCCCUAAGGCGAGGCCGAAAGGCGUAGUCGAUGGGAAACAGGUUAAUAUUCCUGUACUUGGUGUUACUGCGAAGGGGGGACGGAGAAGGCUAUGUUAGCCGGGCGACGGUUGUCCCGGUUUAAGCAUGUAGGCUGGUUGUCCAGGCAAAUCCGGAUAAUCAAGGCUGAGGUGUGAUGACGAGGCACUACGGUGCUGAAGUAACAAAUGCCCUGCUUCCAGGAAAAGCCUCUAAGCAUCAGGUAACAUCAAAU